Long non-coding RNA from Anas platyrhynchos (mallard), 2316 nucleotides. RefSeq lists it as uncharacterized. The record is from RefSeq and is a predicted model, not a curated record. NCBI's taxonomy places the organism in Eukaryota, Metazoa, Chordata, Aves, Anseriformes, Anatidae.
CUUAAGAUCAGAGGUUAAACUCCGUUUAUCAACCUAAAGCCUCCAGCUGUUCUCCAAUUUAGAAAGGGGUGUUUGUACGAGAGGGCAAGGUUUGAAGUUAUUGUUGGGUUGUUUUAGGCAAGCUUUCACCUUGAUUCUGGUGCAACAUAAGGUUAAGGUGUUUGAGCCCUGAAGCCACAGUUUUCAAUGAGAGCAAGGGCUGCACUGCCUCCACUGAGUGGGGUCUGAUGUGGACUCUUCUGUCUUGGUGCCAGUCCCUGUGCUCCUGAGAGCUUCUUCUGCAAUGUGCUGUAACUGCACCUUCUGCCUGUCCACCUCCUGGGACUGGAGGGAGAAGCAGAUGUGUCUUGGCUAGAGAAGGCUUCUGGACAUAGGGACACUUUGGGCAGAAGCACCCAGGGAGCACAGAAAGAAGGCAGUGAAUUUUCUGAGACCCGAUACUGAGACACGGAAAGCUGUCUCUCCCGUUUCCCUCAUCUACGCAAGCUGUGACUUAAAGAGCAGAAAAAGCAGUGAGCCUGGUGGAGUAAAACGUCACUUCAGUAACUUGCAGGAGUAAACUCACUGAAGGUUGUGACCCUGUGAUGGUGAGAAUUGUGGGAGCACACAGGCCCACAGGGAUGAGCUGCCUCCGUCUAGUACUGGAGCACUUGGGAUCAAAGCUUCCCUUACACAGCCUGAUGCCUGAGCCUGUUCAACAAAGCGUGAGGAUGGUUUCUGGCUCAUCUGUUCAUUCAAGCUUUUAAUUAGUUACCAGCUAUCCUCAUGGUGAGGAGUUGACGCCUGAUGUUAUUGAGGUACUUAUUCAAGCGUUCAUGUUUAUGCAAACGCAUUCUUUUUAUAUCGGAUUUUGGGCAAUCAUAAUCCGUGGUAAGGAAUUAAACGACAUGUAAAGAAGAAAUGUGACCCGUUGAUCAAAGAUGCGCUGGCCCACUAGUGAACAGUCUAUCCGGGAUGUGAAAUGGCUGGUCCCCAGAGACGCCCAUUCAAAAAAGAACUGAUGCUUGCAUUUUCUAUAUGCAGAAUCCCAAGCAGUUAUACAACGCGCACGCAUGACUUGAGCUGCAAACACACAUUGCUGCAGUCCUUACACUGGUCCUAUUUUUGAGCUAGUGUAAAACCUGUCCUGGAUGCGUAUGCGCACUGCUUGACUACUUGCAAAGAACUGGGCUGUUAGCCCAUAGACAGAGGAGGGUAUGUCACACUACACAGAAAAAGAGGUCCUUAGCAAAACCACAGGACACAGAAGCACUCAGCAGCUCUUACCUGCUCCCCACUGCAGUGAUUCUGCAGUUGCCAUUGCUGCACAUUCAUAAAAGAGGACAGAGCAUGACCAAAUAAACAAACUCAAACCAGACUCUAAGAUGUAAUCAAAGAAUGUAUUUUAACUGGAGAGUUCAGACAAAGAUAAGGGGCAUGUAAGACGAUCUAUUUUUCCCUUUAAACUUGUCACAUGCAAGAGAGCAGAUCUUCCUAUAAUGUAAAUCAGCAUAGCUACACAGUCUGGAGGGAACAAUUGUAAUUUAUCCUGCCUGAAGGCCUGCACAGAAGGUGCUUGAAGUUUCUCGCAAUUCAUUGGAGACUUGUGACAUUGAGAGCAGGCAUUUGAGCUCCACUGUCUUCUGGAGCGAUUUGCAGUGUAGGCAACUUAUAAUUACAAACACUUGAUAAAUCUUCUUCAGAGAAACUGGGGAGUUUGGUAGGAUGCUUGAGUCAGUCGUGACCGAUUUUACUUCCUGUAAGAAAGCUGUGCUUCUGCAAUUUUGAUCUCAGCACAAAAGCAUCGCUCAGCAAUACUGUGGAAGAGGUUCUGAGGGUUCAGCCAAGCUUCAAAAUAUUUCAAGGAUCUUCUUUGUCUUGUGGAGAUCAGUGGGUUCCUUUCCUGCCAAGCUGAAAAGCCUGGGGGAAACAAAAGGAACCUGUUUCAAGCCAUUUUUGUGAGAACAAUACCUCUCCCCAACACCUUAUGCAGCUGGUAAAUACCAUUCCUUUGUCAGGUACCUAAUCUUUUUUAGCAAUGUUCUACCACCUACACCUGACCACCAACUUUCCACUCUGUUUGCCUUGGCUGACAUUUAUAUAACAAAGAGCUGCUAACUGUUCUUUUAUCUGCACAAGAAAGUCGAGCACAGGAGGAGACAAAUAUGAUGGGCACCAUACGGCAGCACAGAGCUUCACUGCUCCCUGUAUAUCCAGACUCUCUAAUGGUUAUAUUGAGCCAUUGCUCAGAAAAAAAAAUGCUGCUGGUUGCCUGGAAUGAUUUAACUCUCAUGUUCCUGGUUAAAAAAAAAUAAUAAUAAAAAAAAUGCUGUUAUA